ACCUGGCCUUGACAUACUAGAAACUUUCCAGAGAUGGAUUGGUGCCUUCGGGAAUCUAGAUACAGGUGCUGCAUGGCUGUCGUCAGCUCGUGUCGUGAGAUGUUGGGUUAAGUCCCGCAACGAGCGCAACCCUUUUCCUUACUUGCCAGCAUUUCGGAUGGGAACUUUAAGGAUACUGCCAGUGACAAACUGGAGGAAGGCGGGGACGACGUCAAGUCAUCAUGGCCCUUACGGCCAGGGCUACACACGUGCUACAAUGGUCGGUACAAAGGGUUGCUACACAGCGAUGUGAUGCUAAUCUCAAAAAGCCGAUCGUAGUCCGGAUUGGAGUCUGCAACUCGACUCCAUGAAGUCGGAAUCGCUAGUAAUC
Molecule: ribosomal RNA, 370 nt
Filed under: uncultured Acinetobacter sp.
Lineage: Bacteria; Pseudomonadati; Pseudomonadota; Gammaproteobacteria; Moraxellales; Moraxellaceae
Description: bacterial SSU rRNA
Rfam family: Bacterial small subunit ribosomal RNA
Source: RNAcentral